CUGAAACGACCUGCCGCAGGACCCAGAGUUAGCUUUCAAUAUUUGAAUCACGAAGCGCCGCUCUGUAAAAUCCAACCUUCCUGGAAUGAAAACCAAAGUUGUCAGUGGAGAAGGAUGGAUGUUCGCCACAUCUGCAAUGGAUCAUCGACUCUUAACCUUGUCAGCAAGUUUCCUGGUAAAAUCAGCCCUGGUUUUCUUCCUGGGAGAGAGCACAGUGCUAAGAACUGGGGAUCCAGAGUGAGGCCAAACUGGAUGUCUGAUGAAAUGUCACUAACUUGGAGAUGCCCCAUCUGACCCCUGCUGUCUGCCUGUCACUCUAUCAGUUUUCCUUCUUAGCCAUGGGCAGACAUAUGUUCUCCCUAGUGUCACCACGUGGUAUUAUGUUAUGCAUUUGAUUUAUGUGUUUAUCUUCCAUCUCCAUUAAUGUAAAUUCCAUGAAGAAAAAAG
Talpa occidentalis (Iberian mole) is the source of this 447-nucleotide long non-coding RNA. RefSeq lists it as uncharacterized. The record is from RefSeq and is a predicted model, not a curated record. The transcript is spliced from 3 exons. Lineage: Eukaryota; Metazoa; Chordata; Mammalia; Eulipotyphla; Talpidae.